This 119-nucleotide ribosomal RNA is filed under the name Pteropus alecto (black flying fox). Lineage: Eukaryota; Metazoa; Chordata; Mammalia; Chiroptera; Pteropodidae. The record is from RNAcentral.
GUCUAUGGCCAUGCUGCUCUCAACAUGCCCGAUCUUGUCUGAUCUUGGAAGCUAAGCAGGAUCGGGCCUGGUUAGUACUUGGAUGGGAGACCACCUAGGAAAACCAGGUGCUGUAGGCU